CCUACGGGUGGCAGCAGUGAGGAAUAUUGGUCAAUGGACGAGAGUCUGAACCAGCCAAGUAGCGUGAAGGAUGACUGCCCUAUGGGUUGUAAACUUCUUUUAUAAGGGAAUAAAACGAGGCACGUGUGGGAUGUUGCAGGUACUGUAUGAAUAAGGAUCGGCUAACUCCGUGCCAGCAGCCGCGGUAAGAAGGAGGAACCGAGCGUUAUCCGGAUUUAUUGGGUUUAAAGGGAUCGUAGAUGGGUUGUUGAGUAGGUGGUGAAAGUUUGCGGCUCAACCGUAAAAUUGCAGUUGAUACUGGCAGUCUUGAGUACAGUUGAGGUAGGCGGAAUGCGUGGUGUAGCGGUGAAAUGCUUAGAUAUCACGCAGAACCCCGAUUGCGAAGGCAGCUGAC
This 394-nucleotide ribosomal RNA is filed under the name uncultured bacterium. Its description in RNAcentral is "partial 16S ribosomal RNA". It matches the Rfam family "Bacterial small subunit ribosomal RNA", at positions 338 to 729 of the family's 1533-position model. The record is from RNAcentral.